GUACGUGUAUAAUACUUUGUAUUGGGUAGAUUGGUA
RNAcentral lists this non-coding RNA (36 nucleotides) under Trypanosoma vivax. Lineage: Eukaryota; Euglenozoa; Kinetoplastea; Trypanosomatida; Trypanosomatidae. The record is from RNAcentral.